This 527-nucleotide long non-coding RNA is filed under the name Helianthus annuus (common sunflower). Lineage: Eukaryota; Viridiplantae; Streptophyta; Magnoliopsida; Asterales; Asteraceae. The record is from RNAcentral.
ACGACUCUCGGCGGCGGCAAUGGAAGUGACGGCGGCGGUUCAAGGCCUUCGACAGUUCCGGUUCGUCUCCAGCGGGUCUGGUUCAGGUUUGCGAAUCGUGUUUUGGGCCAGCAGGUUCAAGUCGGUUGCAUUCCGCUCUCGGCUGCACAUCUCGGGUCAACAGUGAGUUCGAGUCUUGGUUCUGUGCGGGUCAGAUUUCGUUGAUUUAGAGGACGGCUCGGGUCACGGUCUGGUUGGGAUUCAGUCAACUGUCGAGUCAAACGGUCAAGCCCGGUCGACUAACGGGUCAAUGGCUCAUUCUAGAUUCGGGUGACCUCGGUGUUCCAUCAUCCUUACCUCACACUCGUCGACACUUGGAUAAUCGGAAGACUUAGCAAUUAUGUUGUUAGACAAGACGAUGAAGAAAUCAAGUUAGGAUGGACUUAGAUACUCAUUCAAUAAUAAACAAUGUUGUUGCAAUUUGUCUUAUUUGAAACCAUGUAUUCAAAUUUUAGUCAUUUAUGAAAUUGGAUUUAAGUUAUAUUGUC